AGUGGAUGGGGAGCAACCUAGUUGUGAGUGUGGAAAGGUAGUGCCAAGAAAAGCUGUCAGAAUGAUGAGAAUUGAGUCCCGGUACCCGAAACCGACACAGGUAGGCAAGUAGAGGAUACUAAGGGGCGCGAGGUAACUCUCUCCAAGGAACUCGGCAAAAUGACCCCGUAACUUAGGGAGAAGGGGUGCCACCGAGAGGUGGUCGCAGUGAAGAGGCCCAGGCGACUGUUUAGCAAAAACAUAGGUCUCUGCAAACUCGAAAGAGGAAGUAUAGGGGCUGACGCCUGCCCAGUGCCGGAAGGUUAAAGAAGUUGGUCAGGAGAAAUCUGAAGCUGGCGACUGAAGCCCCGGUGAACGGCGGCCGUAACUAUAACGGUCCUAAGGUAGCGAAAUUCCUUGUCGGGUAAGUUCCGACCCGCACGAAAGGCGUAACGAUCUGGGCGCUGUCUCGGAGAGAGGCUCGGCGAAAUAGGAUUGUCUGUGAAGAUACGGACUACCUGCAUUUGGACAGAAAGACCCUAUGAAGCUUUACUGUAGCUUGAAAUUGUGUUCGGGCUUCCUGUGCGCAGGAUAGGUGGGAGGCGAGGAAGGUCUGCUUGUGGGCAGAUUGGAGCCAACCGUGAGAUACCACUCUCAGGAGGCUAGAAUUCUAACUUAAUUAAGGACAGUUUCAGGUGGGCAGUUUGACUGGGGCGGUCGCCUCCAAAAAGGUAACGGAGGCGUACAAAGGUUCCCUCACACUGGUUGGAAAUCAGUCAGAGUGCAAAGGCAGAAGGGAGCUUGACUGCGAGACGGACAAGUCGAGCAGGGUGGAAACACGGUCUUAGUGAUCCGACGGUGCUGUGUGGAAGGGCCGUCGCUCAACGGAUAAAAGUUACUCUAGGAUAACAGGCUGAUCUCCCCCAAGAGUUCACAUCGACGGGGAGGUUUGGCACCUCGAUGUCGGCUCAUCGCAACCUGGGGCGGAAGUACGUCCCAAGGGUUGGGCUGUUCGCCCAUUAAAGCGGUACGUGAGCUGGGUUCAGAACGUCGUGAGACAGAUCGGUCCAUAUCCGAUGUAGGCGUGAGAAUAUUGAGAGGAGCCUUCCUUAGUACGAGAGGACCGGGAAGGACGCACCGCUGGUGUACCUGUUAUGAUGCCAAUCGUAAACGCAGGGUAGCCAAGUGCGGAGAGGAUAACCGCUGAAAGCAUCUAAGUGGGAAGCCCACCUCAAGAUGAGUAUUCUGGUGUAAGGUCACGGGGAGACGACCCGUAGAUAGGCACGAGGUGGAAGUGCAGAGAUGUAUGAAGCCGAAGUGUACUAAUAGACCGUCGGCUUGACC
This 1323-nucleotide ribosomal RNA is filed under the name metagenome. Its description in RNAcentral is "bacterial LSU rRNA". It matches the Rfam family "Bacterial large subunit ribosomal RNA", at positions 1561 to 2925 of the family's 2925-position model. The record is from RNAcentral.